This 765-nucleotide ribosomal RNA is filed under the name uncultured Streptococcus sp. Its description in RNAcentral is "bacterial SSU rRNA". It matches the Rfam family "Bacterial small subunit ribosomal RNA", at positions 28 to 776 of the family's 1533-position model. Lineage: Bacteria; Bacillati; Bacillota; Bacilli; Lactobacillales; Streptococcaceae. The record is from RNAcentral.
GACGAACGCUGGCGGCGUGCCUAAUACAUGCAAGUAGAACGCUGAAGAGAGGAGCUUGCUCUUCUUGGAAGAGUUGCGAACGGGUGAGUAACGCGUAGGUAACCUGCCUUGUAGCGGGGGAUAACUAUUGGAAACGAUAGCUAAUACCGCAUAACAAUGGGUGACCCAUGUCAUUCAUUUGAAAGGGGCAACUGCUCCACUACAAGAUGGACCUGCGUUGUAUUAGCUAGUAGGUGAGGUAACGGCUCACCUAGGCGACGAUACAUAGCCGACCUGAGAGGGUGAUCGGCCACACUGGGACUGAGACACGGCCCAGACUCCUACGGGAGGCAGCAGUAGGGAAUCUUCGGCAAUGGGGGCAACCCUGACCGAGCAACGCCGCGUGAGUGAAGAAGGUUUUCGGAUCGUAAAGCUCUGUUGUAAGUCAAGAACGAGUGUGAGAGUGGAAAGUUCACACUGUGACGGUAGCUUACCAGAAAGGGACGGCUAACUACGUGCCAGCAGCCGCGGUAAUACGUAGGUCCCGAGCGUUGUCCGGAUUUAUUGGGCGUAAAGCGAGCGCAGGCGGUUUGAUAAGUCUGAAGUUAAAGGCUGUGGCUCAACCAUAGUUCGCUUUGGAAACUGUCAAACUUGAGUGCAGAAGGGGAGAGUGGAAUUCCAUGUGUAGCGGUGAAAUGCGUAGAUAUAUGGAGGAACACCGGUGGCGGAAGCGGCUCUCUGGUCUGUAACUGACGCUGAGGCUCGAAAGCGUGGGGAGCGAACAGG